Molecule: transfer RNA, 69 nt
Filed under: Struthiolaria papulosa
Lineage: Eukaryota; Metazoa; Mollusca; Gastropoda; Littorinimorpha; Struthiolaridae
Description: tRNA-Phe
Source: RNAcentral
GCUCUUAUAGCUUAUAUUUAAGAGCAUGGCACUGAAGAUGCCAAGGAAACGUCAUUACGUUUAAGAGCA